RNAcentral lists this ribosomal RNA (466 nucleotides) under uncultured bacterium. RNAcentral's name for it is "partial 16S ribosomal RNA". It matches the Rfam family "Bacterial small subunit ribosomal RNA", at positions 28 to 507 of the family's 1533-position model. The record is from RNAcentral.
GAUGAACGCUGGCGGCGUGCUUAACACAUGCAAGUCGAACGGAAAGGCCCAAUCUUUCUUGGUGACUCGAGUGGCGAACGGGUGAGUAACACGUGGGUGAUCUUCCCUGCACUUCGGGAUAAGCCUUGGAAACUGGGUCUAAUACCGGAUAGGACCACAUUUUGUAUGUUGUGUUGGAAAGUUUUUCGGGGUGGGAUGAGCUCGCGGCCUAUCAGCUGUUUGGUGGGGUAAUGGCCUACCAAGGCGUCGACGGGUAGCCGGCCGGAGAGGGUGUACGGCCAAAUUGGGGGUGGGAUAAGGCCCCGACUCCUACGGGAGGCAGAAGUGGGGAAGAUUGCCCAACGGGAGCAAGCAUGAUGAAGCGACGACGGGGGGGGGAUGACGGCCCUCGGGUUGAAAACUCCUUUCGCUCGGGACGAAGCGUUAUGUGACGGUACAUGGAGAAGAAGCAAAGGCUAACUACGUG